Long non-coding RNA from Mytilus californianus (California mussel), 780 nucleotides. RefSeq lists it as uncharacterized. The transcript is spliced from 4 exons. Lineage: Eukaryota; Metazoa; Mollusca; Bivalvia; Mytilida; Mytilidae. The record is from RefSeq and is a predicted model, not a curated record.
CAUGUGCUCCUGAAAUUACAUUCUUCAUUUAUUUUUUAACAAUAAAGAAUAUCUUUUGUUUCAUGAAUACACUAAACGAUAUUUCUUAUUUUUCUAGCCGGUGACGACGGAUAUUUCGGUAACAACUGCACAAGGUUGUGUAAUUGUGCGACUGGAACUUGUAGUGUAUUUACAGGAAAUUGUUCUGGAGGUUGUGCAAAGGGAUGGCGUGGUGAAGCAGGCGAUGAAGUUAAAUCUAAAUUGCUGUCGGAAGAGUCGUCUUAAGCGGGCGCGAUAGAAUGAGGUGUUGCUGCUGUUAUAAUCGUGAAAAUAAUGGUGGAGACAUAAAUAGUUUACAAACGCAGGUUUAUAUCAAAAAAGUCAUUAGCAGCAACAUUAUGACGAUGUUCGAAUGGAAAAGGUUUCUACAUAUCAAGAUCUCAUGACACGCCCAACAUCAAAUGCAUAUGAUCCGAUAAAUACAGCAUUCGUCCAUCGAUAAGCAGAAACUUUAAUUUUGUUAACAAAACGUGUGCAUACAACAUAAAAAUCAAACAGAAUAUGAUUAAUAUAAGCCAAACUAACAUAGGACAGUGCAAUUACAAUAGUGUAUGUGUGUUACUCUCAAAAGGAAGGAAAACAUUCUGGCUAGUUACCAUGAUAAACAGAUCUAUAAUAAUCUUCUGGUUCGUUUGUGAUCAUAUGUAUAGCUGCUCGGGUUGUCUGCAAAUUGAUAUAGUAAAAUAUCAACCGCGAUUACCAAUGUUUACAUACUCUUCAAAUAAAGUUGGCAUAUUUAGA